GCCCGGGGCGAGGAAGGAGAUAUCGGAGCCCAGCCGGGUGCAGAAGCCGCUGUCCUGGCAGUUACCGCUCUCCUGUCUGUCGGUCGUGGCACGCCCCGUUUCUUUCUGCCUUCUCCCGCCGUCUGUGUUUGCCCACGGUGUCCUGCCGCCCCCGUGAAGCACCACCCGUGUAUCUCGCACUCUGGUUAUUCUAACUCCCAACAAAAUGUGGUUAGGAACUGCAGCCAUGAUGUCAACGCCUGGUUCACCUUGGUCGUUUCACGCAGGGCUGUGCUGCCAAUGGCGCAGUUGGCGGGACCACCAGGAAGGCAAACAAUUAAAAAUAAGGUAAAAGUCAUUAUUUUAAGACAUAUAUUUAAAAAAAAAUAUUGUGCCUCACUAGCUAACACUUCAUAAAAGCUAUAAAGACUCUCUAGAGAGAAAAUGUGGCCCUCUGGAUUAAUUUGCCAGAGAUGGAUUGACCGCUAAAUGUUUCUGUGCUAUCUACAAUGAGGACACCCAAGUUUUCCUCCCCAUAUAGUGCUGUAAGCAGUUGCAAGACCUGUGACCACAGCAGCAGGAGGGAGGACUGCACCAUGUCCACAAGAAGCUUUUCAGCAGUUUGGAAAGCAUCUGCAGGGCUCCUGGAGCUGGAAGAGAUUUGGUAUGUGGAAUCAGAAGCAGAGAUCCACUUCAAUUCUGUUGGUGAACAAGACACACUGGCUUUAAAUUUUAAAAACAAGUUAAAAAUAGGCACCACUGUAAUGGACAUUUCUGUUUGUUUUGUGGUUGCAUUGUAAUGCAAAGUAGGAAGGUUAUUUUUUCAUAGUUUCCUGUUCUGAAUUUCAUCUCAGAAAUGAGAUACUGAUAACUCUCAAUGGGAUUUUUUGUGGUCAGACGUUAGAAAUAAAUAUUUGCUCCACAAGUUUGCA
This 911-nucleotide long non-coding RNA is filed under the name Struthio camelus australis. RNAcentral describes it as "lncRNA (ENSSCUG00000015445.1)". Lineage: Eukaryota; Metazoa; Chordata; Aves; Struthioniformes; Struthionidae. The record is from RNAcentral.